GCCCGGGUGGUGGAACUGGUAGACACACCAUCUUGAGGGGGUGGCGGCGCAAGCCGUGCGGGUUCAAAUCCCGCCCCGGGCA
RNAcentral lists this transfer RNA (82 nucleotides) under Gemmobacter caeni. RNAcentral describes it as "tRNA-Leu". It matches the Rfam family "tRNA". From Rfam's summary of the family: Transfer RNA (tRNA) molecules are approximately 80 nucleotides in length. Their secondary structure includes four short double-helical elements and three loops (D, anti-codon, and T loops). Further hydrogen bonds mediate the characteristic L-shaped molecular structure. tRNAs have two regions of fundamental functional importance: the anti-codon, which is responsible for specific mRNA codon recognition, and the 3' end, to which the tRNAs corresponding amino acid is attached (by aminoacyl-tRNA synthetases). tRNAs cope with the degeneracy of the genetic code in two manners: having more than one tRNA (with a specific anti-codon) for a particular amino acid; and 'wobble' base-pairing, i.e. permitting non-standard base-pairing at the 3rd anti-codon position. Lineage: Bacteria; Pseudomonadati; Pseudomonadota; Alphaproteobacteria; Rhodobacterales; Paracoccaceae. The record is from RNAcentral.